CACCGCGGUUAUACGAGGGGCCCAAGCUGACAGACGUCGGCGUAAAGAGUGGUUACGGAACGACCUAAACUAAAGUUAAACACCCCCCAAACUGUUAUACGCGCCCGGGGGCCGGAUACUCCGCCACGAAAGUGACUUUAAUUUUCCUGAACCCACCACAGCUAUGGUC
This 169-nucleotide ribosomal RNA is filed under the name Alepisaurus ferox (longnose lancetfish). RNAcentral's name for it is "partial 12S rRNA". Lineage: Eukaryota; Metazoa; Chordata; Actinopteri; Aulopiformes; Alepisauridae. The record is from RNAcentral.